AAGUUCCUCUGCUCGGAGGUGAUAGCCCCAAUCAGAAGCGAGGUGGAUGACAUAAGCUUGAUUAUUAUCAACUUCGAGGAUCUUACAACUGCGCCAUCUGCCUCAUUGGAAAAUAGCCCAGUAGGAAAAGCACGACUUAGUAAAUUCGAUAGAGCAAGGGCUUCUUUUAGACAAAGCCUAAGAUUCGGAACGAGUAGACGCGGAUUUAGAUUAACCGGAUACUUAACACCGCCCAGCGACGUCACAGCUGCCGAAGAAGAAGCUGAUACACUUGAACAAUGUCCGUUGACGUCGAAUUCCCCGACACCCAUUUUGGACCAGACUUGGGUGUCGAAAACGGAAGCACCGCAAGGUGCUGUCGGAGUCGCCGCUGCUGGUCAUACCACUACCACCAUUCCCUUACCGCAACCGAAGGAUUACACUUCUUUAACGAUAUCUCACAGCGCCCCGGCCAGCCAUCAAGCGUCUUUUGAAAGGGGUGAAAGUGUUGAAAGGGGUCGAACUUCUUUUAAU
Onthophagus taurus is the source of this 513-nucleotide non-coding RNA. NCBI's taxonomy places the organism in Eukaryota, Metazoa, Arthropoda, Insecta, Coleoptera, Scarabaeidae. The record is from RefSeq and is a predicted model, not a curated record.